GUGAGGAAUAUUGCGCAAUGGAGGCAACUCUGACGCAGCCAUGCCGCGUGCAGGAAGAAGGCGCUACGCGUUGUAAACUGCUUUUAACCGGGAAGAAACCCCAGGACGUGUCCUGGGUUGACGGUACCGGAGGAAUAAGCACCGGCUAACUUUGUGCCAGCAGCCGCGGUAAUACGAAGGGUGCAAGCGUUAUCCGGAUUCAUUGGGUUUAAAGGGUGCGUAGGCGGAGCGUUAAGUCAGUGGUGAAAUCCUGCAGCUUAACUGUAGACUUGCCAUUGAUACUGGCGCUCUUGAGUGCGCUUGAAGUGGGCGGAAUGUGCCGUGUAGCGGUGAAAUGCUUAGAUAUGGCACAGAACACCAAUUGCGAAGGCAGCUCACUAAGGCGAUACUGACGCUGAGGCACGAAAGCGUGGGGAUCGAACAGGAUUAGAAACCCCGGUAGUCC
Molecule: ribosomal RNA, 445 nt
Filed under: uncultured bacterium
Lineage: Bacteria
Description: partial 16S ribosomal RNA
Rfam family: Bacterial small subunit ribosomal RNA
Source: RNAcentral